Molecule: transfer RNA, 443 nt
Filed under: Leptolyngbyaceae cyanobacterium EY05-AM1
Lineage: Bacteria; Bacillati; Cyanobacteriota; Cyanophyceae; Leptolyngbyales; Leptolyngbyaceae
Description: 16S-23S ribosomal RNA intergenic spacer
Rfam family: tRNA (bases 198-270)
Source: RNAcentral
UUAGGGAGACCUCCCACUCUUAAUUGAAAGUGUCAAGUGAGUAGACUGAGAGCUGGUCAACCCAAGGUCGGUCAGGAUUUUAGUGUGGGCUUUCAAGCUAAUCUAGGUUUUGUGGAAAUGGGCUAUUAGCUCAGGUGGUUAGAGCGCACCCCUGAUAAGGGUGAGGUCCCUGGUUCGAGUCCAGGAUGGCCCACCUAGGGGGUUUAGCUCAGUUGGUAGAGCGCCUGCUUUGCAAGCAGGAUGUCAGCAGUUCGAGUCUGCUAACCUCCACUGGUCGAAAAGCCUAAAGGGAGAUGGAGUGGACAGCACCUUGCCUAGAGUUUCUAGGGAGACUGCUGGGAAUGCUUCCAGCGAGGACCUUGAAAACUGCAUAGCGAGAAGUCAGGUAGAAGCAGUGUCUUGAAUUGAACACUGAUUUACAGACACCAAUGAAAAUUUUUAGU